This is a non-coding RNA of Labrus bergylta (ballan wrasse), 347 nucleotides long. The record is from RefSeq and is a predicted model, not a curated record. Lineage: Eukaryota; Metazoa; Chordata; Actinopteri; Labriformes; Labridae.
UCGGGGACUGCUGUGUGGUGCCUCUCAGGCAUCCUGUGUUGUUGUGAUUUAUGAAGGAGGUCAUCAUCAUAAACAGAGAUUUCCCCUAUUUAUCUAGAAGGGAGAGGCCAGGAGGACUUUGAACCAUGCUGAACAGGUACAGUACGGGUCGUAAUCACUUCGGGUAGAUAAAUGCCCGAGAUGGAACCCCCCCCCCUGCUUUGAGUCUCCCUUUUGCCUGAUCUCCAAUCAACCUCCCAGACCAGCCUUAAAGACGACGGCCAUCUCUCACCUACACCCCUCUCAUACACACACAUACAUACUGUCUCAAUAUACCAUACAAAUUCACAUGAAAUGUUUAAACGUUA